AUUUCUAUUAAUUAUACUCAAUGAUCCAUCUUUAUUAAUCGAAAAAUGUAGACCCAAUACCCUAAGACAUAUCCAAAACUCAAAAAAAUUUGUUGUGCCGAAUGCUAGGAAUUUUUACGGAGCUAGAAUGUUAAACACUAUUAUACCUGCAUUUGUUAAUGAACUUCCCGAAGACCUACAAGAGUUAUACCUGGACAAACGAAAAUAUAGAAGAUCACUAAAAGAACAUUUACUAAAAUCUUUAAGCGUUUAAUAGUUACAAAAUUUUGGUAAUUACCUUAGUUUAAAUUAAAUGACUAUAACAUGGUACGGUACGAUAAAGAUAUCAUAUGAUAAUAUGAUAUGCGACGCGGCGGCUUGUCCGGAUAAGCUCUUGUGAGUUUUCGUGGCAGGC
Long non-coding RNA from Melitaea cinxia (Glanville fritillary), 394 nucleotides. RefSeq lists it as uncharacterized. Lineage: Eukaryota; Metazoa; Arthropoda; Insecta; Lepidoptera; Nymphalidae. The transcript has 3 exons. The record is from RefSeq and is a predicted model, not a curated record.